This 1914-nucleotide ribosomal RNA is filed under the name Rickettsiaceae bacterium. RNAcentral's name for it is "partial 23S ribosomal RNA". It matches the Rfam family "Bacterial large subunit ribosomal RNA", at positions 1 to 2070 of the family's 2925-position model. The record is from RNAcentral. Lineage: Bacteria; Pseudomonadati; Pseudomonadota; Alphaproteobacteria; Rickettsiales; Rickettsiaceae.
AUAAAAUAAAUAUAAUAAGAGCAUUUGGUGGAUGCCUUGGCGCUAGAAGGCGAUGAAGGACGUAAUACACUGCGAUAAGCUCCGGGGAGUUGUGAAUAGACUUUGAUCCGGAGAUUUCCGAAUGGGAUAACCCACCUGAUUUAUCAGGUAUCAUAUAAUGAAUACAUAGUUAUAUGAGGCAAACUCAGUGAACUGAAAUAUCUAAGUAGCUGAAGGAAAGGACAUCAACAUGAGACUCCGUUAGUAGUGACGAGCGAACGCGGACCAGGCCAGUAGCUUAAGAGUAAAAACUAGAACAACAUGGAAAGGUUGGCAAUAAUAGGUGAUAGCCCUGUAUAGGUAAAAAGCUUUUAAGUUCUUGAGUAGGGCGGGACACGUGAAAUCCUGUCUGAAUAUGGGGGGACCACCCUCCAAGCCUAAGUACUCUCUAGCGACCGAUAGUGAACUAGUACCGUGAGGGAAAGGUGAAAAGAACCCCGAUGAGGGGAGUGAAAUAGACCUGAAACCGAAUGCUUACAAUCAGUAGGAGCAAAAAUUUAUUUUUGUGACUGCGUACCUUUUGUAUAAUGGGUCAGCGACUUAGUUUAUCGAGCGAGCUUAAGCCGUUAGGUGUAGGCGUAGCGAAAGCGAGUCUGAAUAGGGCGAAUAAGUUCGAUGAAUUAGACCCGAAACCGGGUGAUCUAGCCAUGGCCAGGUUGAAGGUAGAGUAAUAUCUACUGAAGGACCGAACCCACUAAUGUUGAAAAAUUAGGGGAUGAGCUGUGGCUAGGGGUGAAAGGCCAAUCAAACUCGGAUAUAGCUGGUUCUCCGCGAAAUCUAUUUAGGUAGAGCGUUAUGUAAUUACCAAUGGAGGUAGAGCACUGAAUGAGCUAGGGGGUCCAACAGACUUACCAAACUCAAUCAAACUCCGAAUGCCAUUGAGUACAGCAUAGCAGACAGACUACGGGUGCUAAGAUCCGUGGUCAAGAGGGAAAGAGCCCAGAUCGCCGUCUAAGGUCCCAAAAUUACAACUAAGUGUUAAAGGAUGUGGAAAGACCAUAACAACUAGGAAGUUGGCUUAGAAGCAGCCAUCUUUUAAAGAAAGCGUAAUAGCUCACUAGUCUAAAUAAGUUUUUCUGCGCCGACAAUGUAACGGGGCUAAAGUUGUAUACCGAAGACGCGAACUUACAUUUAAGAUGUAAGUGGUAGCGGAGCGUUCCGUAAGCCUGUGAAGGCAAUCUGUAAGGAUUGCUGGAGGUAUCGGAAGUGAGAAUGCUGACAUGAGUAGCGACAAAGAAUGUGAAAAACAUUCUCGCCGAAAGUCCAAGGGUUCCUGCGUAAAGCUAAUCUGCGCAGGUUUAGUCGGCCCCUAAGGUGAGGCUGAAAGGCGUAGCCGAUGGGAAUCAGGUUAAUAUUCCUGAACCGGAAAAAGUGACGAAGAUAGUAAAUUGUACAUCCUUAUUGGAUUGGUUUGUGCAGUGAAUAUUUUCCAGGAAAUAACUUUUUCAAUAACGACCGUACUCUAAACCGACACAGGUGGACAGGUAGAGUAUACCAAGGCGCUUGAGAUAACGAUGCUGAAGGAACUAGGCAAAUUGCAUCUGUAACUUCGGGAUAAAGAUGACCUAUGUUUGGGCAACCAGAUGUAGGUGGCACAUACCAGGGGGUAGCGACUGUUUACUAAAAACACAGGGCUCUGCAAAGUCAAUAGACGACGUAUAGGGCCUGACGCCUGCCCAGUGCUGGAAGAUUAAAAGGAGGGGUGCAAGCUCUGAAUUGAAGUCCCAGUGAACGGCGGCCGUAACUAUGACGGUCCUAAGGUAGCGAAAUUCCUUGUCGGGUAAGUUCCGACCCGCACGAAUGGCGUAACGAUUUCCCCGCUGUCUCCAGUAUCGACUCAGCGAAAUUGAAUUCUCAGUUAAGAUGCUGAGUUCC